RNAcentral lists this small RNA (777 nucleotides) under Mycoplasmoides pneumoniae M129. RNAcentral's name for it is "Mycoplasma pneumoniae M129 ncRNA". Lineage: Bacteria; Bacillati; Mycoplasmatota; Mycoplasmoidales; Mycoplasmoidaceae. The record is from RNAcentral.
AACAGUGUUAAAACAAGGAUAGUACCAAUACCAAUAAUUACCGUGUUUCUUGGAUCAGCUAAACUUUUUUCAGCCGUUUGUUGACUGACUGUUAAAACCGUUCAAACACAGUUAAAGAACUCAAUAAUACCAAAGACAACAGCAGUAACUAUUCCCAAACUCAAAUAAACCCGUUCCUUGUAUUUACCAAAGAUCUCAUCUUCAUGGUUGACCUGGUUAAUCAUGUCUACUAAGAACUGAUCUAAUUGCAUGUACUCCUUUACCUUGGUGUACAGCUGGUCAUACUUAACUGAAGCGGUACGGAAGUAUUCACUGAGAUACCGCAGCCGGUUAAUGCUGUUGAGGUUAGAACGCAAGAGAGAAGGAUCGUUAGUGCGGUUUUGCUCAAAGAUCUUGGAGUAAUCAAAUGCCUUGAGCAUAAUUGCCUUACUGUAAGUAAUCGUUCAGACAAUGUUAUGGAUCGCUGAUUUGAACUUAUUGUUAACAAUACUCAAAACAUCGGUAUUACUGUUCAUAAACAACAGUUGGUUAAAGGUACGCCGUACUAACAAAGUUUCUUUUUGUUGUUGAAAGUCAUUGAGCACAUCGCUGUCAGUAAAGUCAAUUUCCUUAAAGAAGUCACCAAUUUCCCUUAGGUUUAAGUCAUUGGCAAUGGCAGUAUCAUCCAGACCAAAAACAUUGGGUUGCAUUGUGAUUAAAAACAACAGCUUAGCUUCGUUAGUGUUGAAAAAGUCAUCAUUCUUUAAAAAGCACUGUUUUUUGUCUGGUUCAAAUACA